This is a non-coding RNA of Hydra vulgaris (swiftwater hydra), 1587 nucleotides long. NCBI's taxonomy places the organism in Eukaryota, Metazoa, Cnidaria, Hydrozoa, Anthoathecata, Hydridae. The record is from RefSeq and is a predicted model, not a curated record.
CACAUCAAAAUCAGUUUCAAGGCUGCCUUGAAACUAAUUUCGGUGUGUGAAAAGAGUAAGUAAUUUAAAUUAUCUUUGGCAGAACUUUGCCUUAAAAGCAAAGUUCUCCUAAAGGUAAUAAUGAAAUAAAAAUUAAAUGACACUUUUAUAUGGGGACUCAGCAUUUUCUAAGCUUUUUUCCAUACCCAGAAUUUACUAUAUAACCACCUUAAGCUCUAUGAUACAUAAAAAUUAUAUACAUGCUUUAUCUAUGCGAAUAAUAAUAAAUGUAUCUACACAUUUUUUUAUAGGUUAACAGUAAUUUUUUAAAUUAGUUAGUUGUGUUUAAAAGCCAACCCAAUUAAAUAGUUGUAUUAUGAUUGUUUGAUUUAGUGCAUCGUGGGACCUAAAAAGGAAACAUUUCUACUUGAUGGUAAAGCUAAAAGUUAGUUAACUUGUAGUUUUCACUACUAGCUCAUUUAAAUAUUGGUUGUAGCAACAGACGCCUACUGCAUAUAUUGGCAACUAACAAGGAUUCAUAUAAAGUAACUGUAGAAGUAAUCAAUAAGUAUUUUAACAUCAAAGUUUGUACUAAUUAGAUUCUGCAACUAGUUAAAACAUCAAAAAACUUUGUAAACCAUUUUUCACGAGAUUCAAAACAAUUUAUUGACAUCUGCAACAUGCUCUGUGCAUACCAAAUAAUGACAUCUGCUAUGGCACAAACAUCGCAAUCAAUUGCAACCUCAAUUCACAUUGCUAUAUGUUCUUCAUUUCCCUUUCAACAAAUCAGUGUUUUAUCUGUAUCAAACAGUGGUCACUUAUCUCUUUUAUCUGGUCCUGCUAUAGAAACCUCUUCUCAUGAACCACUAUCCAGUUAGAGAGCUGACUAGUUAAGUCCCUGAAAAAGAUUAUGAGAAAGAGAUUUUUGUUUGAAACAGCAGUUAACAUUAAUCGAAACCAAGUUUUCUUAUCAAAAGACAAUUUUAUACCAACAACUUGCUGAAAAAAAUUAUGCAAUUCUUGUACUGCAAAAUGACAUUGAUACUGAUUUUACAGGAAGAGUUGGAGGAAAUUCAGCAAGUAACACAAAACACCAAAACUCAAAAACACUACUCAGCAGAUAUUAGAACACUUAUAUACGACAUGCUUGUGUGUUAAGUUCCUGGUUUCAUUCACUACACAAUUCAUUUUCUACACGAUUCUGCAAUACAAACUUCGCUACAAGGAUGCAAAAGUGAUCCAAAGGGUUUUGGGUUCUUUUUGGACCAACACGAGUUGCCCAGAAGAUUGCUACCAUGCUAUAGAGGGAACAGAAUACAUAUGCUUUUUCACACAUGUGGUACUUUGAUCUAUAAUUAUUCCAUAUUGAAAAUAUUUUUGUGUUCUGGCUUGACAUUAUGUGAAUGUCUGCAAAAUGGUUUGUUUCAAGACUUUACAUCUGAAACAGGUUUUAACUAAUAGCAUUCUAAAAGAUUGCAAUUUGCUACUGUCUUAAAGUCCUCAAGAUUAUAUUUAAUAAUUCAGUAAGAUGUUAUUAUAGUUAGAUAUUAAUUUAUUUUGCAGUAAUUAACAGUUAAAUGUUAAUUUAUUAUACAGUAAUUGCUUGUA